AACAUCGGUUCCCUUACGAUCAAUGAAGUUAAGCAACGUCGAGCCUGGUCAGUAACUAGAUUAGUGACCGCCUGGGAAUACCAGGUGCUGUAAG
Acanthosepion pharaonis is the source of this 94-nucleotide non-coding RNA. NCBI's taxonomy places the organism in Eukaryota, Metazoa, Mollusca, Cephalopoda, Sepiida, Sepiidae. The record is from the annotation of a GenBank genome assembly.